AAGCGCAAGUGACGGUACCUGCAGAAGAAGCACCGGCUAACUACGUGCCAGCAGCCGCGGUAAUACGUAGGGUGCGAGCGUUGUCCGGAAUUAUUGGGCGUAAAGAGCUCGUAGGCGGUCUGUCACGUCGGAUGUGAAAGCCCGGGGCUUAACCCCGGGUCUGCAUUCGAUACGGGCAGACUAGAGUGUGGUAGGGGAGAUCGGAAUUCCUGGUGUAGCGGUGAAAUGCGCAGAUAUCAGGAGGAACACCGGUGGCGAAGGCGGAUCUCUGGGCCAUUACUGACGCUGAGGAGCGAAAGCGUGGGGAGCGAACAGGAUUAGAUACCCUGGUAGUCCACGCCGUAAACGUUGGGAACUAGGUGUUGGCGACAUUCCACGUCGUCGGUGCCGCAGCUAACGCAUUAAGUUCCCCGCCUGGGGAGUACGGCCGCAAGGCUAAAACUCAAAGGAAUUGACGGGGGCCCGCACAAGCAGCGGAGCAUGUGGCUUAAUUCGACGCAACGCGAAGAACCUUACCAAGGCUUGACAUACACCGGAAAGCCGUAGAGAUACGGCCCCCCUUGUGGUCGGUGUACAGGUGGUGCAUGGCUGUC
This 593-nucleotide ribosomal RNA is filed under the name Streptomyces fildesensis. Its description in RNAcentral is "bacterial SSU rRNA". It matches the Rfam family "Bacterial small subunit ribosomal RNA", at positions 461 to 1053 of the family's 1533-position model. The record is from RNAcentral. Lineage: Bacteria; Bacillati; Actinomycetota; Actinomycetes; Kitasatosporales; Streptomycetaceae.